RNAcentral lists this long non-coding RNA (1461 nucleotides) under Equus caballus (horse). Its description in RNAcentral is "lncRNA (ENSECAG00000054235.1)". Lineage: Eukaryota; Metazoa; Chordata; Mammalia; Perissodactyla; Equidae. The record is from RNAcentral.
CCCCAUCCCAGGGCUCUGGGGAUGACUCGGCCCUGAAGAGGAGGGGCCGAGGCUGCUGGUCCCCACGUGUCAUGGUCACAGCUGGGGAGCUUCGGCUUGAGGACUCCCGUCCAACCCCUUCUUGACUAUGGGGCCCUAGGGCUUUUGGGAAGCUCUAGGUGGCCUGGAAGGGUGGCCCAGACUCUGGGGCCCCCAGAACCCCCAUGCGCUUCCUGGGUCUGUGGACACACGGAAGCCACUCUGCCCCUCAGUGCUGGCAAAGGAUCCCCUGCUCCAUUCAACUCUCAGGUGCUGGCCCUGGGCCAGUCCCUGGGGCUCGUGCUCCAGGAGGAAUCAGAGCUGGAGAAGGAGGGGCUAGGCCAGCCUCCAGCCCCGGGGCCAGGGAGCUUCUGCCCCCCACGCAGCCCCAAGUCCUUUGAGCUCUCAGCUUUAGCUGUGGGUCUGGGGUGGGGGGCCGCCUCGUCACUCGCCAAGGUUCAGAAUAGCAGAGCUCCCCAGUGACCACUCCCUUCUUACCCUGCCAGCUUGUCCACCAUUGAUGACACCAACCAGCAUUUGGCCAAGCGGGAGCAUCCCCUCCAGAAAUCCCCUCUGGGCCAGGACAGAAGUUCCUGGAAGGCCCUUUCCAUUAGCACAGACAUGCCGGGCAUCGUUCCAGGAGGCUCUGAGACCUGAGCUUUGCAAAGGGGAUGAGCAAUAAAAAUGACACCAGCGCCCUUCACAGAGGGCUCGCCCUGUGGGGCCUGUAGCCAGGUGCUCGCUGUCCAUCCCCACGUCCACUUCUCCCAGCUUCCCUGUGAGGGAGGUGCAGCAGGAGGAAAUGAGGGCGACGUGGCCUGCGUGUGGUCACACGGCUCGGGAGCUGCAGAGCUGGAAUGCAAGGCUGGGCUGUCACCAGAGUUCCUGUUAGUGGGGGGAAGUCCGCUCACCUCUCUGGGAAUUCAGUGGGACUUGCAGUGCACAGGACCUCAGACAGAAACCAGGGAGCUGAACACGACACCUCCCUUCCCCACACUUCCGCUCCUGCACAGCAGCACAGCCCACCGCCUCCACCUCCUGAGCCCCCCAUGCCCUCCACCCCCACGCUCAGAUGAGCCUCCCCACUGGGGCCCCGCUCCAAUCUGACCAUGUCGCUUCCCGGCUCCAAACCCUGCGAUGGCCCCAUCUCACGCGAGUAACCUCCAGACCCUUGUCACGAUCUGCAGGCCCCACCUGCCUGGCUGACCUCCUCUCCUCCGUGGUUCCCCCAGCCCUGCUGCUCCUUGGACGCUGGUCCCACUCCCACGGCAAGGCCUUCACCUCGGCUGUGCCCCUGCCUGGAACUCCCGUCCCCCAAACAUUCACCCACUGGCUCCUCUAUCCUGCAGGUCUCAGCUCAGAUGUCACCUCCUCAGGGAGGCCUUCCCUGAUCACGUGUCCUAAGUAACUCCCUGUCACCUCCUGCCCCAUCGAUUGUCUUCC